AGAGUUUGAUCCUGGCUCAGGAUGAACGCUAGCGGCAGGCUUAAUACAUGCAAGUCGAGGGGCAGCAGGGGUAGCAAUACUCGCUGGCGACCGGCAAACGGGUGAGGAACAUGUACGCAACCUUCCUUUAACUGGAGGAUAGCCCCUCGAAAGAGGGAUUAAUACUCCGUAACAUAAUGAAGUGGCAUCACUUUAUUAUUAUAGCUCCGGCGGUUAAAGAUGGGCGUGCAACUGAUUAGAUAGUUGGCGGGGUAACGGCCCACCAAGUCUGCGAUCAGUAACUGGUGUGAGAGCACGACCAGUCACACGGGCACUGAGACACGGGCCCGACUCCUACGGGAGGCAGCAGUAAGGAAUAUUGGUCAAUGGACGCAAGUCUGAACCAGCCAUGCCGCGUGGAGGAUUAAGGCCCUCUGGGUUGUAAACUCCUUUUAUCUGGGAAGAAAUGUGUUUUUUCUAAAACACUUGACGGUACCAGAGGAAUAAGCACCGGCUAACUCCGUGCCAGCAGCCGCGGUAAUACGGAGGGUGCAAGCGUUAUCCGGAUUCACUGGGUUUAAAGGGUGCGUAGGCGGGCAGAUAAGUCAGUGGUGAAAUCUUCGAGCUUAACUCGGAAACUGCCGUUGAUACUAUUUGCCUUGAAUAUUGUGGAGGUAAGCGGAAUAUGUCAUGUAGCGGUGAAAUGCUUAGAUAUGACAUAGAACACCAAUUGC
RNAcentral lists this ribosomal RNA (713 nucleotides) under uncultured bacterium. RNAcentral describes it as "bacterial SSU rRNA". It matches the Rfam family "Bacterial small subunit ribosomal RNA", at positions 8 to 716 of the family's 1533-position model. The record is from RNAcentral.